UUUUAUAAUAGAAAUUGGUACCGGGAACAAAUAUAAUAUACUUAUUUAUAAAUAGGAAAAUUAUUCAAAUAUAUAUCCGCUUUGAUUUUAAAACUUAAAAAUUGGAUAUAAUUAUAUUAAUAAUAUAUAUUUUAUCUCUCCACUAAAAGUAAAUACCGUUGGUAAACUUUUAUAUAAUAAAACAGGGGGCGUUUAAUUUGAUAUUAUUUCGUAUAAUAAUAAUUGCAAACCGUUAGCACGUUUAAAUACCGGCAAAAGUUUGUUUUACUUAAAAAUAUAAAAAUGCAAUACUUUAAUUUAAAUUAUUUUAUAAUAUUAAAUUAUUCUCUAUAAUUAGUAAAUGUAAUACCAUUUUUAAUUUAAUUACACCAAGGGUUAAAAACAGUUUAGUAGUCCCGUGGGAAAUAUAAAUAAAUGGUAUAAACUCAGCCCGCAUUUCUAUUAUUAAGAAAUUAAAAUUACAAUAUUAAUAUUUAAUUCUGUCCUGUAAUAAACUAUUAUUUACGGUUCUAGUAAUUAUUAACAAUAUUUUAAAACUUUUAAAUUUUAAUUACAGCCGCCAUUUUAUUAAAUUUUGCUAAAACUAAUAUUAGUAAAUUAACUUAUAAUUACAAAAUUGACUCGCAAAUAUAGUUUUAUUAACUUUGAUAAUUUCCAUAUUUAUACUUAUAGUUGAUAUAAAUUGAGGGUAGGUCCCUUAAAAUAAGUUGAGAUUAGUUUAAAUUAAAUAAUUUACUGGUAUAGGUAAUAUUAUUUAUAUAAUAUUAUUUGGUUUUUAUAUCUUCAACUAAUUAAUAAAUUAUACCACGGUUAUAAACUUUUAGUUGGAAAUUAAUAGUUGAUAAAAGAAAGUGGAAUUUAAAUUUAAAUUAUUAUAUAAAUUUUAUAUAAGUAUUUUCAAAUUACUAUAAUUAUAAACCAAAUUAUUAUACUUUUAACAAAUACAAAAUAUUUGACAAAUUAAUUUCCUAAACCGAAAUAAUAGGUCACUCACCAAUUUAUUUAUAUUUUGCAAUAUUAAUUUACGCGUUUAUAAUACCGGCCGUUUUUAAAAACCAUAUUUGGAAAAAGGCUUUUAAUUUUGAAUUUAAAUACAAAAUUUACAAUACCAAAAAGUUUAUUUUAAUAAUUAAUACUUAUUUACCUCCCGUAAUUGAAAUGUUUUCCAGCUAUAAAUAGCUUAUUAUAAAGCUUUUUAAAUAUAUAACGGUAUUAGUAUCUAAUCCAAUAUUUAAAAUAAUAAACGUUCUGGGGGUUAUUUAAAAUAUAAAAUAGGGUAUAAAACUGGCAAUUUAAAACCCGAAAUCGGAAAUUCUUUGAAUAUAUUUUCACGUAUGUCCUUUUAAAUACUUCAAAAACCAAAUUUAUAAUAAAACGCGAAAUUAAUAAUUAUAAAUAGGUUUUUGAAAAACAAUAAUAAUGUUAAAUAAACUGCAGGUAUAAUAUUCAAAUUCGAUCAAAUUAUUGUUGCAAAAGUAUUUCGUUAUCUAUAUUAAAUUAAAAUACCCGCAAAACGUAAGUUUGCUAUUACCCUACGAAUAAUUAAACAAAAGAAUUAAUAAUUAUAAACUUAUAUAAUUUUAAAGUAAAUUUGCUUUUAGAAGGUUUUUAUAAAUCGAAAACGAAAAUUAUAUUAUAACGUUUAACAAAAAUAUAUAAUUUAUAUAAUAUAUACUACUAAUUAUAAUUGAUAUAUGUGGGAAAUAAAAUAUAUGAUUGCAUAGGUGCGUUUUCGAACAAUAAUUCUACUAAGAUAGAUUUUUAUUUGCACAUUUGAAAAGUUUUAUCAAAUUGAUUAUAUUUAAAGCCCCAAAAUAUUUGGAACUUUGGUAAUAAUAAAUUAUAAUAUAAAAUAGUGCAAAUAUUCCAAUUGUAAAAACGCUAUAUAGUUUAAAUAAAAGUUAAGAAAAUUGUAAAACAAAUUAAAAACCCUAUCUUUUACGAAAAAUUUGAAACUGCUAAUUCUUAAUAAUAUUAUUUUUUUAAUAUUAAAUUUAAAUAUUUUAUUACUAUUUUAAUAUAUAAUUACUUAAUAAUAAGGUUUGGUUUGCGAUAAAGUUUUAAUGUUAAAAUUUCGCUUACUAAUAUAUGCUUUUUUUUAUAAUAGGGGCCUGCAAUUUACUGUUUAAAUAUUUAAAUUACAAAUAACAAAUUCAAAUAUAUCUUCUAACUUUAUUAAAUUUAAAAUACAAUAAAAGUAUUAUUAAUAUUUAAACUGAUUAAUUUUAUAUUUAUAUUUUAUUUUAUAUACGCUGGUAUAUUAAAUAUAACGGGGUAUUAUAAACGUGUAAUAACUUGUUAUAAUUGGGACCGACGAGUUAUUUGUUUAAUGCAAAUACUUCAAAAUCUUUUGUUUUAUUAAUUUAUUUAUUAUAUUAUCCGGUAAAUUUUAAUACGGGGAGAAACCCGUAGAUUUAUAACAAACCAAACCCUUGUAAAGAAUUAUUAGCAUUUAAAUAUAUUUUUAAUAUUUUUAACAAAGUUAUAUAUCGGAUCCGCGGUUUGAAAAUAUUUUGUUAUUUAACAAAAGCUAUUAAAAUUAAUUUCAACGUAAUUAAACAGCUUUUAUAUUAUUUAACAAAUACCAAGUUCUUAAUAAUAUAUUACGGAAAUAAUACUUUUAAACCCAAAUUACUAUUUAAUUUCUUAAUUGGGGGUUUUUAAAUUUUAUACUUUUUUCGGGUUUAAAAAUAGUAACUUUGCCGGUGCUGGAAAGUAUUUCAAAUAAAUUAACAAAUAUUUAUAUAUUUUAUUUAAAGGAUUUAUAGCCCGGAAUUUCAAACAAACCCUGUAUAACUUUAUAUACUUUAAAUACCAAAACUAAUGUUUUAAUAAAAACCCUGCGCAUAAUAUAAUAAUUGAAACCCUAUUUAUAAAAGUGGUAUUUUUUCUAAACGUUUCUAUUAUAAUCUCUGGAAAUAAUAUAAGCUUAAUUAUUUACAUAUAUAAUCUUAUAUACUAACGAUAUAUUAAACAUACGCUAAUAAAAUCUUAUUAUAUAUAGGGACUAAUUAUAAACUUGUUGUUUUUCAAAAUUUGAAAGUUAAAAGAAUACCUGCUUCCGGUCUUAUAAAAUUACUAACUUUAUUAAUUUACAAAACUUUUUUAAUAUUAGUGAAAUUAAAACCGCUUAUAUUUAAUAUUAUAUUAUUAGAUUUUAAAUAACUAAUUGGUUUAUUAAUUAUUUAGUUUUCUCUUCUAUUUUAAAAUGCUAAUUAGAUUUCUUUAGCCCAAAGCGAGCCGAUCCAUUCAAAUUCACCCUUUAAAAUUUAAUAAUUAAACCGUUUUUGUUAAUCUUAUAUUUAAAACUAAAUUUAAAUUUGAAUAAUUUGCGUUUUGAACAAUUUAUCAAUUUUAUUAUA
RNAcentral lists this small RNA (3362 nucleotides) under Pyricularia oryzae. Its description in RNAcentral is "Magnaporthe oryzae sRNA M_BR32_EuGene_00128221". Lineage: Eukaryota; Fungi; Ascomycota; Sordariomycetes; Magnaporthales; Pyriculariaceae. The record is from RNAcentral.